RNA transcript from Phycodurus eques (leafy seadragon), 13455 nucleotides. It is a transcript of the gene named AF4/FMR2 family member 1-like, with no coding region annotated. The transcript is spliced from 20 exons. The record is from RefSeq and is a predicted model, not a curated record. Lineage: Eukaryota; Metazoa; Chordata; Actinopteri; Syngnathiformes; Syngnathidae.
AUAAACACACCAAAGAUUAAAUAUUUUCAAGAUAUGAAAAAGUGGCUAUGCCCUUAAUCUUACCAAUGCCCUCUAUUGCCGCCUUUAAAGCAGCCACAUCCUCUUCCACUUUAAAAUUGGCCUUGUCCGUCACAGUACCCCUUGUAUUGGACUAAUAAGAAGAAUAAAUACAAAACACCAGCCAUUAACCAGGGUUAGGCCACAUUUGGCACUUUAAUCUGGACCACCGGCGCAAUUAGCAAGAAUAUUUGUUGCAUUGAUGCAUCUUUUCCCGCCGAAAAGAUCAAAUACAGAGCUUGUAUUUUAACACCUUAGCGUAUACUACUGUACUGACAUACCUCAUGUUGUAAAACCAGUGAGUUAAGUUGAAUUUAUAUUGCAAUUCAUUAUGAAGUUGGAACUCUCAAAAAUACAAGCAGCAUGUUUCAAAACCAGUUUUAAUAUUUUUAAGUGGCUUUAAAUGUUAGGGAAUUUAACUUUUGUAGUACAAACAAACACAAAUGAAUUUGCGCUUACAGUUACGCUCAGUGAGGAGGGAGAAUCCAACAGCAAAUCCAAAUCAUCCUGCAGUGAUUAAAAAAAGCAUGAUUCGAAUAUUUUCAAUUCACUAAUGUUGUCCAACAAACAUUGCAUGCAGAAUUUCCCCAAAGUACUCACCCAAACGGACAUGUUUGUGCGAGUGGAUUUCAAGUUUUGCACUGCUGUGGAAGAGCAGAUCAUGGAAGAGAUCACAUUUCAGCUCAACUUUAUCAUCCUUGCGACCGGAUCCACUUCCGCAAACUUCCCAAACCCAGUGAAAAAUAUUUAAACCAAGAUAGCGUCAACAUGUGUUAGUUCCAAAGGGGUAACGUUUUACACGUGGUUAGACACUUUUAAAAAUAAAAACUAAAGGGGGAUCAAAUACGUUUUUUGGGCAACAGAAGAGAGCUUUUAUCUUACCUAAAUCAGAUGACAGGCUUGAUAUCGGUGGUGAAAUUCCAGAAUGUCACACACGCACUUUUCACGGAUGUGGAAAAGGCAACGCCCAUCGUGGCAGAGUUGAGUCAUCUUUUUUUUCUUUUCUUUUGUGGCAACUAGCCAACAUUUUUUUUACGAAGAGUAACGGUAAUUAAGUUAGAAAAUACAAUGUAAAAAUGUAAUUAAAGUAAAAGAACCUAAAUUGACGAGGAAAUACUCUACUUUGCAUGAAUUCCAAUGGUUCCAAUUGUUUACAACUAUGGGUUCUAUGCGUUGACACUUUUAGAAUUGCAAUAGUAUAUGAAAUAGUUUAAAAUUAUAAUUUAAAUAAAAUAUAUAUUUCUGGAUUUGCCACACGGAAGGCGGAAGACAGCUAUUCUUCAAGUGGACGUGUUGGACCGUACAAUGCACCUUGCGACACCUAGGGGUCAAUAAGUCACACAACAGUCGUGUGGCAUUUAUAAUGGAUCCGUUUGGCGAGGUUUUAUGGAUACUAUAUUUAUUUUUGUCUUCCAAUUAUGAUGUCAUUAAAUGUAAUUGCUCAUGCACAUGAGUAUGACGUAAUAAAAAGUUGCAAAUUCCAAGAUGGAUGUUUACGGUUAAUGACGGUUAACAAAAUGUAUGUCAUAGGCGCGAUGACGUCAUCACGCCCGUGGUGAUCAACACUAAAUCCAUUCCCAACCAUAUGAUAUCAACUUUUUAUAGUGCGUUAUAAGUUAAUAUUUAAUUGUAUUUGUUAUGUGAGUGACUUGUUAUUUUAUUAGGAACAUAAUAAUACAUAAAAUACAUUUAAAAUGACGUCGGAUCGUUUAUGGAUUAUUUACAAAGAAGUAGGAAGAGUUUGAGGACGACAAUUAUAAUUGAAAAGUGGACGUUUUCGUCUUGUACUGCACAAUGGAAAUUGCAGCAUCGAGAGGUCAAUGUGUAGCAAUGCAGCCGCGCAGCAGUUAUACGAAUGUAAUGCCUCCCUAAAUUUUGAUGAUUUGUUGAGGCCUACGGAUAAAUGCCACACAUUAAUUUUCCUCAUUAAAUUUAGGUGCUAAUCCAUGUUCAUGACGUAACUGUACUUCGUUACUGUACUAUGUAGAUUUGUAAAUUAUCUAAAUCAUUGACUGAAGUACUUAUUUAUUGAUGACUUUUUACUUUUACUCCACAGAUAUCUAUGUUUGUCUUUGUCAACAAAGGCUCGUUACUUUUUUCAACCUCCACAGAUGACUACAUGAUGUUAAAAAAUCCUUAACCAGUAAAAAGUAAAGUCAAACGUGGAGUAUAAGGCAGGUAAAACAGGUACAAUAGCGACAUGGAGGAACGUGAACCAGAAACAGAUUCAGGGAGGAAAUUCCCCAUCAAUGGCCUUAGAGAAAAGUAUUAUUUUUAAGUAUUCAUAAGAGAAUUGUUGGAAAUUGUUGGCUUGUAAUUUUUCAGUUGUUAUAAUUAGCACAUUCAGCAAUUUAUUUAUUUUUUGGGUAAUCAGUUCACAACAUGAGAAAAGCUAUGGGAACAUGUUUUAAUGGCAAAAAAGCCUGAGCCAAUGCUAGCUUUUUUCUUCUCAGUAUGAGCACUGUUACUUUUAUUAUAGUUGCUAAUAGGGAUAGUUGCUAACCUGUGGAGGUGGGUUGAGGGAGUUUGGGUUCCAACGGAGGCAAACUCAAGAAACAUUGGCCACUUCUGAAUAAUUUCACUGCUGAGUGUGGAAGGGAAGGUGUUUUUGCAGCAUCAUCUCUUGGAGGUUGAAAGAGCUUUUCUUCAAGACCCCUCGGUCCAGAAGGGUGAGAUACCAGGUGCACCCGGCUCCCUGGGCCACACAGGUGUAGUCACGUCACACCACCGUCAUUCAGAAGUCCUUGCAAGAGCUUGGUACUAUCUGCGGCUAUCUGCCAAAGUGGCUGGGGUAGCCUUACCAACGCAACACUGUAUGGAACUAGCAACACCUUGCAGCCACCAUUCAGUGGUCUCAAGGAAGAGUUCAUGGUGACUCACACCCUCCAGUGUAGAGACUUCGGGGAUGCUCAAGUGUCAGCAGCUGGCAUCAUGGUUAGAAAAGGAAGUAAAUAGAGAGCAUAGAAGGCUGUGCAGGUGGUGGCGGAGUCGCGCCUGAGACGAAAGGCAAGGUGGGCACCAUGUUAACCAGCAAAGCUUCCAAACAACCCAGGUCAGUAAAGUCCAGCGAAAGGAGAGACACCAUCUUCUCCAAGAAGAAGUGCGAGUGGGGCUGUAGGAGGAGCGAGUGGGUAGGGCAGUAAGGGCCCUGACAGCUGCGAGCAUGAACAAGGUGGGAGGGUACACUGCAGCACAGGAUCACCUGGUCUAACAUCUUGCAAACUGAUUUCUGCUGAGUCCGGUUCCUGGUGCAGGCAGUCCACGACGCCUUGCCUUGACCUGUUAACCUCCACAUCUAAGGAAAGAACGAAACACAGUCCUGCCCGAUCUGCUCUGAAAGAAGCUCAUUACAUCUCCUCAGCGCUGCCCAAAGACUCUGGUGACACGACCAAGUACUUAGGGAAGUUUUUGAUGGUUGAGCAUCAGCCGUUGACACUGACAAAAAUCAUAGCCACCAAAGAAAGCAAUCACCCUUCUCAAAGCUGGGGAGAAAUGGCUAUGGCAAAACCAGCAACAGGCCUUCUCCACAAAGCCUCUAACUGGCAGUUGCAGGCUGACCUGGGAAAGCGUCUGACAUUCCCACAACACAUUGCGUCAACCUCACUCCGCCCAGCCAUGAUAAUCACCUAAAAGGCAUCAAAACCUGAUCAUGUUGGCCCUGGUCCGUGGGUCACCUGGGUGAGGGUGUAUCUUGUGAGACCUGAAACACUUUACAAUCCCUGGUCACACAGAUUUACAACUCCUGCAACGGAUUUGCAACCCAGCGCAUUGCUGAAAUGUUUUACGAAUAACUAUACAGCAAUUUCAAUUUCACAUGUAACUGUGGAUCUGUCACCAAAUGCAAACAAGCGUUCACAAGAUUAUGCUACAAAGCAAUAUCAGUUUGAGCCCACACUGCAUGUCCAGAAUAGUUGCUAGCUGAAUUUAAAAUUAUUUUUGGGAACUUGAUCCCCAACACACACACACACACACACACACAUACACACGCACACACACACACACAUAGAGGAAUUUUUGUAUGAACUCGACUGUCAGAUCCCACAUGAAGAUUUUUAAGUCACAUCUGUGAACGUACUACUCUUAGCAUUCACUUUUGCAGACUUAUAACUUUCUUUUAAAAAUAUGAACCUGGAGGGCCCAAAACAAACUAGGAUGUACCAUGUCAGUCAUGACAGGGGUCAACGAGAAACUUCUGAGCAACGUACGUGACGAGUAAAAACAACAAAUUAAACGAAUUUUGGUGGAUCUAUUGCUCAGUUGUCUGUUUCAUUCGUGUGCAAAAUAAAAAUACGGCAUUGUUAUGGGUAUUUUGUGUCAACUUUGAGUGUAUAAAAACGAGCCGACCCCUUCGAGUAGAAAAGUCCACUGAGCAGCGAAUGGACGAGCCAAACAUUCGCAGCGAGGAGGCAGAGAUUAGCGACCGAGAGCUAAAGGCGGCGUGACAGACAGUCCAGUUUGUCGGACCUUUUUCUCUCCGGAAAACGAUGUGACAAUGCUAGCCGAGAGGACGAGCUCGGCGGCGAAAGGCAGGAGCACACGACGGCCAACUUCGGUUGUUUGACAAGCGGGGUAGAGAGCGGCGCACGCCAUGGCAACUCAGCCGAGCAUAUAUGAUGAAGAAAGGAAUCGUCUCCGCCUCCAAGCCUGGGAACAGAGGAACCAAGAAACCAGUCAAGCCAAAGAACUUGGUGCUGGGAAUGUGCCGCUUUUCGGGCAGCCAUAUAAAACAAACAAAGGCGAUGAGCUUUCCAACAGGAUCCAGAGAAUGCUGGGCAGCUAUGAAGAUGUGAACAAUCCAACAGAGCCUUCAGCAGCUCCUGCAGACUUCACACAGUCUGAUCGAGGGCAGCCAAACUCUGAUUGGCCCGGCAAACCUCUCGUCCAAAACCUGGCCCAUCGCGUAUCCUGCCAAAACCUCCCAAGUAGUAAUUACCCCUUUCAGACAAUGAGAGACAUCCCCCCUUCAUCCCCAAACAGCCAUGGAAGCUCACUCAGUAUGCCAAAGGCUUCACUGGAUCAUCAGAAGAAGGUUGAAACUUUGUCACAUCUCAGGGAGGAUGCUAGCAGUUCUCAGGAAAGGUCUGCUCAGUGUCUGGAUGUCAAGCAGAUACCUUUCCUACAUUCCAGUGCGCCCAAAGAUGCUAAAGACACCUCCGAUUCACAUCAGGAGUCCAUAGAACCCUCCUCCACUGCCACAACGGUGGACUUUUCUGUGUUUAACCUCAGGCAGUCUCCAGCGGACGCUUCUCUGCAUCAGGCCGGCAAAAGCAGCAACUCCCUCCUCUCGCAGAAUUUCCCACCUCUGUCCUCGUCCAAGCCGCCCAGUGUUGUCAUGAUGCAGAAGCCCACGGCGUAUGUGAGGCCUAUGGACGGUCAGGACCAGCUACUCACCGGCUCGCCGGAGUUGAAACCUUCGCCCGAGCCACAUGUACCUCUGCAGGAGAUCCACAAGGCCCACCAUGCAAAGGCAAUAAUGUUUCCUCAGUAUCUGGAGACAAACGCAAAUGAAGCAGUGUGUGUGGAAGACAUCUUGAAGGAGAUGACUCACUCCUGGCCCCCCCUCUUGUCAGCCAUGCACAUCCUUAACUCUGACUCAUCCCCAACCAAGGAAGCAGAGCAAGUACCUUCAUGUCCAGGAGGACAAAAAAGCCACGACCGCUCUCCUGGUGAUCCUCGCCAUCUCGACCUGCAAAGCUCCAAAUUAUCUUCGCACAAAGAGGCUCAUUCCAGUGGUGUGGAGUCGGCGAGCUCCAGUGACUCUGACAGCAGCUCCAGAUCUGAGUCGGAUGGAGAAAGCAUUGUCGAUGAGCCUUGUGGAUUGAUAACGAGCAACAAAACUGAGCUUGAUGCUGCGCCAGUGUGUGGCAACUGGCAGUUGGGCAACUGGAUCCGGUCCAGCCAACCGAACUCCGGCAGUGAGAGCCAAGGUGGAUCCAACGUCGUCUGCGAGAAACAUGCUCGCAACCCGCCGCACGGGUCCGAACACCUUACUGAGGAAGCAACCCAGUCAACGCAGCAAGGCGGAAACCCGCCUGAAGUGCAGCCCUGUGGCGAGAGUUCUCAUGAGAGCGGCAGUUCCGGGAAGCACGGGGCGCGCAAACUGCAGAAGGGUUAUGUGAAAUGUGAGGACACUUUAGCAGGAAAAGCACCCCCUUUCUCAGACAGACCCAUGGUCAAAACGAAAACGGAACGCUUGAAUAAUGUUAGCAGUGACUCUAAGAGUAAAAGGACCUUUAAGAUAGCGGAGGUGCAGAAGAAUGAAUCCAGACCCGAGGUGGUCCAACGUGACGCUCUGUGUCCAUCAUGUCCCCACCACUGCUCUUGCCAUAUUUCCAGCCAAACUCCCAUGUUAAAAAUCAGUAGUAGCAAAGCCAAUGUGGAAAUCGUUCAACAGGCCAAAACCAUUCCCAAAGUAGAGUCCGCCACAACCCACAAGUCCUGCAAGAACUCUGGGCAUGUCCCUAAAUCUCAGGACAUCUGCGCUAGGCCUGCUGGAUGCUUACUAGUAAAGAUCGACCUCAGUCUGCUCUCAGGAGUCCCUAAGGGGACACCCGGGAAGGCAGGGACCUGGAAACACCCUAAAGCCAGCAAGAAGACUCUACCUCAAACCGUGGACAUGGACGACAAGACUCUUCCCAGAAAAAAGCGGAAACUGGAGAAAAAGAGGACUUCAUCCAAUCAGGACUCUUCUGUGAAAGUGGAGGGUUGUGCCACCCAACCAGAUGAGCCACAGCACAAGAUGACCAAGAAAAAGCAGGUACACUUGCAGAAGCCCCCAAAAGACUCCACACACCAGAAGGGGCACAAAGGAUCUCGUGUGGAGCCGCAUAAGGACGCCCCCAAGAGCAAAGACUCCUCCAAGAACAAAAGCAGCCACGCAAAGCACAUGCACGCGGACAAGCAGAAGCAGUCGUCGGCCUCACGACCCCCCAAGGAAGUAGUGACCUCCAGACCCUUGCUCAGAUCUGAAGACAGGCAGUAUCCAGUGAAGCACUACAUCAAGGAGGCCAAACGACUGAAGCACAAAGCAGACGCUGAGUCAGAUAAACGCAGCAAAGCGUUCAACUACCUGGACGCCGCUAUGUUUUUUGUGGAGAGUGGCAUCGCCAUGGAGAAGGACCCGCAGAUUUCUAUGUCUUCCUACACCAUGUUUGCUGAGACGGUGGAGCUCCUCAAGUUUGUCCUGAAGCUUAAGAACUCUGCAGACAUGACUGCCCCCCCCUCAGACAAGGACUUUGUAGCAUUAUGUCUGAAGUGCCAGUCUCUCCUGCAGAUGGCGAUGUUUCGCCAUAAGCACAAAACUGCGCUCAAGUACUCAAAGAUGCUCACUGACCACUUCAAUAAUCCUGCACUUGAGUCUUCUAUCUGCGCCACAAAAGGCCCGAACACGCCGUCCCCUAUGGUCGGCAUCCCGUCCCCAGCCUGUGGCAGUGGCAACACCGUGGCCGUUCCAGUCGCCGUGGAGCAGGUGGCGCUUUCCUAUGUCAACAUCACCACGUUAUUCCUGAGCGCUCACGAACUGUGGGAGCAGGCGGACCAGAUGUCAGGCAAAGGCAGCGGUCUUGUGGCAGAGCUGGAUGCCGUGGUGGGCCCGCUGAGCCUGACUUCUAGCGUGCGCUCCAUGGUGCAUUACACCCAACAAGGCGUGGCGUGGCUGCGACGAGACAGCUCAAAAACCCAAAUGAAUGUCCGCUGAAGGUACCCGAACCCCGGUGUGUGGGUCACGUGCUGAAGAAGGACUAGAACUGUGGCUUAAGUGGAUUCAGUAGUGAGUUAAAAAACUAAAAUAAAAUUAAUUGCACUUAUUAGAAAGCAGGUUAGAAUGCCCCCAGAUCAGGCCAAGUCAUAUACAAUUGCUUUUUAAAUAGGAGCAUGGCUGUGAUUGAUUUAUUAUCACAACUUUUUGUUAUCCUGAUACGUCUAUGACCUGCACAUUCACCUAUACAGGUUUCCCUCACCUAAUCGCGAUUCACUACUCACAAAUUAAACUAUUAUAGAUGUAGUUGUUAUUUGCGGAAAAACUUGCCUAUUAGAUGUUUUUGGUCUCUUUCUGAAAUGCACGAACUCAAGAUAGCACCAAAACUCUGUAUAAUAGAAAAGUAGUGCUUUGGUGCUAUCUUGUGGCAUUUUGCAGCGACAGAGCUAUGUUGAACUGAAUGGAGGAGCUUCUGUUAGACUUCCAUAGCACUGUCUGAUAGAAAAGUCGUGCUUUGGUGCCAUACUUUUGCAUCUGUAGGCAAUUCUAAACCACGAGCAAUAUAAAGUUUGGUGUCAAACUCAUCCUGCAUUGGUAUCCUUACACAGGACAGCAAACCAGGAAAAGGUCCAAAAAAGCAGACUUACAUUGGUUGGUAUGUAAGGAGUUUCAGGGGCCUCUGAUACUAUGUGUGAAGUCUGCAAAUUUUUUUGGUCAACUUCAACUCGCUAUUCGAGCCAUGCCACAAAUAGCUUAAAUCUACAAGUAAUUGCAUGUAGAUGCCAUAAAAUGGCGCCAAAUUACUACUUUUCAAAUAGACAGGCCUUUGGCCGGUCUAAUAGUGCUUUCCUUCAUUUGAACAUAGUUCCUUGACACCAAGAUGCUACAAAUUUGCACCAAAGCUCUAACUACUUUCUUUGUGAACAGGGCUUUGGCAGGGCAUUUCAGAAAAGGCACAGAAACAGUCAAUAGGUGAGUUUGUUCGCCAAUAAAAGGUUCCAAAAUCAAAUUCGCCAAUAGGAAGGGGCCACUGUUAUGACAUCACCACUUGCUUAGAAAGACCUCAAGUUAGACUUUUUUUUUUUUUUUUUUUCUCUCUCUCUUCAGUGUUGUCCAGUACAAUUAAUGGCAUCAUGGUGAAGAGCAAGCACAAGCUAAAGUGCCUUUAUUCUCUCAGCUUUUUCCUAGUGACAAGGACAACUUUCAUAGUACAAUUGCCAAUCAUGUUUUUGAGCACACUUUAUUUUUUAUAAUUUAUUGUUAAUAUAUAUUUCUUGUACAAACUGUGCACUUUCCCUUUGAGUUUAGAUGAGGAAACCAUCGGAGCCCCAGAGGCAGAUGUCUUUUUCACAGGGCUUUACCCCCCCCCCCUUACUUUAGGUACACUAGCCGAAAAAAAGUGUUGUUGGGAUAAUAGCCAGAUUGAGUCACGUUUCAGUUGACAUGGGAGUACAUCAAACAAAAAGUACUUAACUUUCAAACAGCACCAAGUGCUUGCCUUGGCUUGAUUUAUUUUUUUUGUUUUUUUCAUUUUGUUUUUUAAUUAUGAAGCUUUUGUUGGUGCAUUUAAAAAAAUAAAAAUAAAAAAAUCACGUUUUGUGGGGGGAGAAAUUCACCCCACUUGGUUUUGAUAGUUUAUUCAGUUGGUGUGUGUAGUUUGAAUGAUGAAAGCAAAGAGGAAUGGUUUAAAAAAUCUUUAUUUCCCCACCAAAAAUUCAAAAGAAAAAUUACAUGAAAGUGUCACAGCUUGCCCUCGGGAUUAUCUCUCCUACCAUCGGUGUAGUUUGUCCAACCUGCGGCAAACGUUAACGAAUGACUCUGCAAUGGAUUUACACUUCUUUGUCAGAUGAUAAUCAUGGCUAUGCGAAUGUACUGGAAGGUGGGAAUGUUUUUGGAUUUUGUGGAAUAUCUCUAUUUUCUGUUGCAGUGUGCAGAGAAAAAUAAACGCUGAAAAUGAAUUUGUUGUUUACAUUUUAUUUCCCCCCCCAACACAAAUACAGUUCAGUUAGGUGUUGUGUACAGUCUAUUUGACCCGAUUAGAUACAAUAUUGCAAUACAGUAGUACUAAUGUAAUUCAUUCCAUGACUGAGCUCAGUUUACUCGUAUCUAAAAUUGUGAGUAAGGCGCGUGAUGCUGGACGGCUGUUGUGGUGCUCUCUGCCAUAAUCUUGACGCAAUGUAUCUGAAGCUCGCGUGUCCCUCAUACUUUGGCUCUCAACACAAGUUGGUGCAUUCCAAAAUCAAGAUACCACUGUGUUUUUAGAUUACAAAAAGUGUGAAAUUUAUAUUUGUCACAACAUUAUCCAAGUUACGCGUCUUGAUUCAUCCGCAAAGUUGAAUGCAACUUAAAAGUGAAAUGUUAAUGUUUCUUCAACUUACCCAAAAAAUCUUAGGUUUUCAGAAAUGUACAACUCACCACGUCAACGUUAAUAGUUGUUGUUCAUCUGUGGAAAAACGACUAACAUUAAACAGUAAAAUCAACCAAUUCACAUUGGUGUUAAAAAUUUACAUUAUCCUUCAGAGAGCUGAGAAGAAAGUACUACCAUGCUGUUGACGUACGCCUGUUCGUCCUUGAGGACGGAAACGAGCCUGGCCUUCUCAGCCCAACAGCAGUGCAUAGCCGUGUGGGGGAGUCCACGAUGUCCAUGUUGUUGUAGUCGUAGCACGUUGUUGUUCUUCCUCCAGCCAGGGUUGCUGCCCCAAUCAGGAGGUGCACAGGGACACGUGAGGAGGCUGCUUUGACCAAGGAAAAAAGUGACCAAAAGUCAAGUUAAGUGACAGGGGCUUUUGUUUACCCGGUACUGACGGGGGCACCGGAGGCAGGAUGGGGUUCUGUCCUUUGGCUAUCAUGCUUAUGCAGUCUUGAAAAAAACUCUUUAAAAUAUACUAUUUUCUCCUAUUAUGCGGACUUUCCUGAAGAAAAACAAACUUGCAUGGAAAGAAAUCUUGGGGGAAAAAAAUGCAAAGUAUUUCAUCUAUUUAAAAAAAAAAAAUACACCUUUUCAUUAACUUUUUUUUCCACUUAAUAUUGCAACUUUGUUGGGCUAUUUUCUUUUUCUUGACAAAUACAACUUAUUCAAUGAAUAUUUGUUCCCCUUUUUCUGAUUAGCUAUGAGGUGUGACAAAGAAUUACAGACAACGGCAUUCCAUAAUUUCCUGAAAUUUAUUGAACCAAUUACAACAAAAGCACAUUGCAAAAGAACUAACAAAACAACUACUACCAUAUUCAGGCCGUUUGUAUCAGUGCCUUGUAGAUUGUGCAAUUUUGCUAAAUAGAACGAAACAUUUGUAUCCAGAAAUGCUGCUUGUGACAAAGUGUGAAAUAUACAACUAUUCUAUUCAUCUUGGAAAAUUCUAGCACAACAAAGGAUUAGAAGACUAAUACAGCUAUAUUUGUAUAUUAGAAAAGCAUCCAUAAUAUAUUAAAAUAUAUUUGUAUACAUAGGGACCGCCUUCAAGGAACAUUGUGUGUAAUUUAGCUUUUCUGACAGUCCAGCUAUCGUACCAAAAAACAACACACAAAGCAUUCCCUGACACAUUUGAAUGUUUCUCUGCAUAACAUGGCAAAUAAGUUUGCUUCAAUAAAAAAAAAAAAACAGGUGUCAGGAUUUUUUUUCCCCGACAGAUGACUGAUUUGUCAGGCAUGUUUGUUCAAGCAUGAUUAUGACUGGUGCAAUUGAAAUUCUGUAGCAUUCACUGACCCUGGCACCCAAGGCAUGUGAACCUAGUCAGAAGCGAGAUUAUGAUACUGGACUACUUUUUCAUUUUUUUAGCUAGUUUCCCUUAUAUUAAAAAAAAAAAUUUUUUUUUUAAAUAUAUUAUUCUGAGUAUUUGUGGCUGAAAUAUUUUUAGGCUUUUUAUAACAUCCUCUGAGGUUUUACAUGUUUUUACAAUUUACUUUUCACUAAGCCACACCCCCGUAAACAGAGACUGGCCAAUCACAGCGGUUCAAUAGUUCUGGGCUCUUGAUAAAGCUACACACAUUGCACUGGCUUACUGACUAUUGUAAAAUAAUCCUAUGUUGUUAGCUUGUUAACCAAAAUGCUCGUGAGCCGUGAGAUGGCUGAAUUUUCCCAACAGGAUUAAUAAAGUAUUUAUCUAAAGCUAUGUGAACAAUGUGAGGUCUAGUUAUUAUCUGGAGCACAGGCUAAGAUAGCAAUGCUAGAAAUGUUGCUUUUAUUCCAUUCACAAAAUUAAACCAGGGAAAACUAGACUCUGGAAAAAAGCUAUGUAGUUCUAAAUGGACAAAGUUGAAUGCAAUGUCUGUAAAAUAAUGCUAUGCUGCUGUUAACUCGUCAUCCAAAAUGCUAAAGCUAUGCGACCAACCUGAGGCGUAGUAAUAGUAUAGUUAUCCAUAUCGCUGGUUAAACUAACAUUGGUUGAAAUGUUUCUUUUAUUCUGUUUCCAAAAUUAAGACCAAUUCCCAAAUUAACGAGACAAUGGAUAAAGCUAUGUGGUUGCCCAAAAUGCUUAAGUUAUGCUACCAACACAAGGCCUACUUACUUUCCAUAGUACUGGGGAAGCAUUAAAAAAAUUAUAUUCUCAACACUAAGCCAGAUAAAUCCAUAAUAUAAAACGCUAUGCUGCAGUCCAGUGUUAUAGCUGAAUGUAUUAGCUCAGCAACCAAAAUGCUAACCCAAUGCGACCAACGUAAAACCUAGUUACAAUUAAGAACACUGGCUAUGCUGAAAUUUGUUUAUGUUUAUCCUGCGCUGAAAAACUAAGCCACAUGAAUACGGAUUUUAGAAAAAGUUACGCUGUUGUUUGAAUGCUGUUGUUAGCUCGUUCCUCCAAAUUCCAACACUGGGCUAUCAGUGUGAGGCCCAGUUACUUAGUAAAAGGUCAAUUGCACGGCAGGCUGGAUCAAAUGCUCUUCUGACGUAUAUGGCGGUUGUUGUAACAUGAACAAAAGGAAGGCUAUGAAAGAGUGAUGCGUAAAGAGCACCAGAAGAUGAUAAUUUGUGCAUUUCUGUUCCGCCGUCACAUGCAGUUGACAACGUUGCUGGAUCCCUGGCCGACAUCUCUGAUCUGGCUUACAUGAGACGAGCACACGGCUACGCCCGCUCCGGCUCGGCAGUGCGACACGGAGCCGACCAGCUCCCACCUGGAGACAUGAUGCAAGGCGACACCGUCAAAGACCGACCCUCGAUGGACCCCUCCCUUUGUCUGCCCCUCACCUGUUCAUGCGCGGCUCAAAGGCCUCCACCGUGUUCAGAGAUGGGGCUUGGUGGCAAUGACCAAAUCUGAGGCUGUUGCAGUAUGGAUUCUCCACUGACCAACUGGGACAAGAUCUGAAGUGGACCACUUCCCCGGAGACUUGUUGCUGGAUUCUGCAUCCGCCGUCUGGGCCAGGUCCUGAGGCAGAACCACUUUCCCAAAGGUGUCUACCUGCGGCACUUCAUCUAAUCGCUUUAAAUGGAUUCUUGUGCCAUCUUAACAUUGUACAGCACCCUACUAUGUAAAACAUUUUUUCCCACUUGACAUACAUUGUAGCCUGGUCACCCUGAAAGGGGGAUCCCUCCAUCUGUGGUCCCUUCCCUAGGUUUCUUGUUUUUUCCCCAAAUGGAGUUUUGAGUUUUUCCUUGCUCGAUUGGGGGGGAUUAGAUCAGGGGAUGUCAUCUAUCUUCGUCAACUGUGGGCCUGUGAAGCCCUUUGAGAGUCUUUUGUGAUGAAGGGCCAUACAAAUAAACUUCACUUAACGCA